This is a long non-coding RNA of Drosophila montana, 471 nucleotides long. RefSeq lists it as uncharacterized. The record is from RefSeq and is a predicted model, not a curated record. NCBI's taxonomy places the organism in Eukaryota, Metazoa, Arthropoda, Insecta, Diptera, Drosophilidae. The transcript has 2 exons.
CAGAUCUAACUGCAUUGUCGGCGAGUUGGAGUUGGAGUCAGGGCAAGACUUGGACGCAUUCUCGACAUAGUUCUGGUUGCAUAGAAUUGAGGGUCGCAAGAUCUUUGGGUUUUCUGACUUUUGUUUCGCAGAGCCCACUUAACAAUAUUUACCCAAUUUAUUGGGAGAACCUCUCUGCUCUUGCUAAAGCCAGACUCCUAAUAUCCAUUCGCUAGUCUCCAGUUGUACUCAGUGGAUCUAAUGCCAUUCCAAAUGCCAAACAACGUGGGCUGCAGUUUUGGUUCUGUUGCUGCUGCUGUUACUUUUAUGGCGGAAUGUGACAGUCAGCAGCUGAGCGCUAAAUUGCUUUUGAUUGUUCUUAAAUAUAAAAAUAAAAGAAUUAAACAAAAAUAUGUAGUUGCGCACACAAAAAUGUCAACCUCCAAUUAAAUAUUUAUUUGUUCGAUUCAAUAAAUCAACUAACAAUUUCCA